AGAGUUUGAUCCUGGCUCAGGACGAACGCUGGCGGCGUGCCUAACACAUGCAAGUCAAGGGGAAAGCCCUGCUUCGGCGGGGUAAGUAUACUGGCGGACGGGUGAGUAACGCGUAGGCAACCUGCCCUGGUGAGAGGGAUAACCCAGCGAAAGUUGGACUAAUACCUCAUAAAGCAUUUUAUUCGCAUGGAUAGAUUGUUAAAGUUUGCAACUUGUUGCAGAUGUAUCAGGAUGGGCCUGCGUUCCAUUAGUUAGUUGGUGAGGUAAUGGCUCACCAAGGCGACGAUGGAUAGCUGGUUUGAGAGAGUGAUCAGCCACACUGGGACUGAGAUACGGCCCAGACUCCUACGGGAGGCAGCAGUGAGGAAUAUUGCGCAAUGGGCGAAAGCCUGACGCAGCAACGCCGCGUGGGGGAUGAAGUUCUAUGGAGCGUAAACCCCUGUAAGUGGGGACGAAAGUUGUAUAAUUCAAUAGAUUAUAUGAUUGACGGUACCCGCAGAGUAAGCUCCGGCUAACUCCGUGCCAGCAGCCGCGGUAAUACGGGGGGAGCAAGCGUUGUCCGGAAUUACUGGGCGUAAAGGGCGUGUAGGCGGCUUGGUAAGUCAGAUGUAAAAGGUCCCGGCUUAACCGGGGAUGGUCAUUUGAAACUGCCAGGCUUGAGUUCGAGAGAGGGUAGCGGAAUUCCCAGUGUAGCGGUGAAAUGCGUAGAUAUUGGGAAGAACACCAGUAGCGAAGGCGGCUACCUGGCUCGCAACUGACGCUAAGGCGCGAAAGCGUGGGGAGCAAACAGGAUUAGAUACCCUGGUAGUCCACGCUGUAAACGAUGAGCACUAGGUGUUGGUUGGCCGCAGGCUAAUCAGUGCCGCAGUUAACGCAUUAAGUGCUCCGCCUGGGGAGUACGAUCGCAAGGUUGAAACUCAAAGGAAUUGACGGGGGCCCGCACAAGCGGUGGAGCAUGUGGUUUAAUUCGAU
RNAcentral lists this ribosomal RNA (972 nucleotides) under marine sediment metagenome. Its description in RNAcentral is "bacterial SSU rRNA". It matches the Rfam family "Bacterial small subunit ribosomal RNA", at positions 8 to 955 of the family's 1533-position model. The record is from RNAcentral.